AUACUUACCUGGACGGGGUCAAUGGGUGAACAAUAAGACUCAUGGCCUGGGUUGACAAACUCCAUUGCACUUGGGAGGGGUGCCCGCCUAAGGUCUCCUCAUAGUGGGAGAGCCUACGUCAUAAUUUGUGGUAGUGGGGGCCUGCGUUCGCGCGGCCCUUA
Small nuclear RNA from Ziziphus jujuba (common jujube), 161 nucleotides. RefSeq annotates it as U1 spliceosomal RNA. The record is from RefSeq and is a predicted model, not a curated record. The transcript has a single exon. NCBI's taxonomy places the organism in Eukaryota, Viridiplantae, Streptophyta, Magnoliopsida, Rosales, Rhamnaceae.